RNAcentral lists this ribosomal RNA (426 nucleotides) under uncultured bacterium. Its description in RNAcentral is "bacterial SSU rRNA". It matches the Rfam family "Bacterial small subunit ribosomal RNA", at positions 356 to 774 of the family's 1533-position model. The record is from RNAcentral.
GGGGAAUUUUGGACAAUGGGCGAAAGCCUGAUCCAGCAAUGCCGCGUGUGUGAAGAAGGCCUUCGGGUUGUAAAGCACUUUUGUCCGGAAAGAAAUCCUCUGGGUUAAUACCUCGGGGGGAUGACGGUACCGGAAGAAUAAGCACCGGUUAACUACGUGCCAGCAGCCGCGGUAAUACGUAGGGUGCAAGCGUUAAUCGGAAUUACUGGGCGUAAAGCGUGCGCAGGCGGUUUUGUAAGACGGAUGUGAAAUCCCUGGGCUCAACCUGGGAAUGGCGAUGGAAACUGGGCGACUAGAGUGUGGCAGAGGGUAGUGGAAUUCCUGGUGUAGCAGCGUAAUGCGUAGAGAUCAGGAGGAACAUCCGUGGCGAAGGCGACUGCCUGGGCCAACACUGACACUGAGGCACGAAAGCGUGGGGAGCAAACA